GAUGAACGCUAGCGGCGUGCCUAACACAUGCAAGUCGAACGUGAGGGGGUACUUGUAUCCCUGAAAGUGGCGGACGGGUGAGUAAGACGUAGGUGACCUGCCUCGAAGUGGGGGAUAACCAUUGGAAACGAUGGCUAAUACCGCAUAAGCUGGUGACGAUGGGAAUGGUUAUCAGGAAAGCUUUAGUGCUUUGAGAGGGGCCUACGGCCGAUUAGCUAGUUGGUGAGGUAAAGGCUCACCAAGGCGAUGAUCGGUAGCUGGUCUGAGAGGACGAUCAGCCACACGGGAACUGAGACACGGUCCCGACUCCUACGGGGGGCAGCAGUGAGGAAUAUUCGGCAAUGGGGGCAACCCUGACCGAGCAACGCCGCGUGGAGGAUGACGGUUUUCGGAUUGUAAACUCCUUUUCUCAGGGAAGAGCGAGGACGGUACCUGGGGAAUAAGUCACGGCUAACUACGUG
This 461-nucleotide ribosomal RNA is filed under the name uncultured bacterium. RNAcentral's name for it is "bacterial SSU rRNA". It matches the Rfam family "Bacterial small subunit ribosomal RNA", at positions 28 to 507 of the family's 1533-position model. The record is from RNAcentral.